RNAcentral lists this long non-coding RNA (1360 nucleotides) under Canis lupus familiaris (dog). RNAcentral describes it as "lncRNA (ENSCAFG00030003621.1)". Lineage: Eukaryota; Metazoa; Chordata; Mammalia; Carnivora; Canidae. The record is from RNAcentral.
CAUCUGGACCCAAGGGUUCCCAGAAAAUCGUUAGCGUCUGUUUCUGUCUGCUUUCUUCUGUACUGGCUUCCUAUUCAGGCUGACUCUCCCCAGCGUGGUGGCCUGGAGCCCUCACAGCUUGUACUUCAACUGGUUCAUAAGUUCUCAGUCUAAAAGCAGCUAUUGCUCACGAAUUCCAGCACAAGUCUGAGGCGCUUCCUGGUUUGCGGAGAAGGCCAUGUGAUUGUCCCUGGAGCGAUGGCCUGGGCUGGAAUGACAGACUGCUCUCACCGGCAGCACACAUGUUAUGUCCACCCCCAGGCCUGGGGAGGAUUCACCACGCGAUGACUCAGAGAAGAAAGCCUUCUUAUUUCAUCAGAGGUGUCUGGGCUUUCACAGCUGCAAGAACUGAAGUUUUGAGGAACUUUGAUUCUCAGCAGACAUAUUGAGUGUAAACUCAAGAGACUUGGAUGGACCACUUUCUAAACGCUCAGAUUGUCCCUCUCACUAAGUACAAUGUACGAGUUACAUGACUGGAGUUGUGAGUAUGAUUACAUGACUUGGGGAAAAAGGUAAAGGAAAAUUAGCCUGUUCCUGGUCCUAUAUCCCUCUCCCUUUUUUCCUCCACCUUUAUGAAUUAUUGAAAUUUUCACCAUGGCAUUGUUCAUUAAAACUUAAAUCACGUGAUAGAAGGGGCAACAUACCUAUUUGUCAGAGUAGGAAAUGGGUUUAAGGAAUAUAACUCUUCCUUUAUUUUUUUUCUCAUAGGGCAAUAGAAUGGGAGAUUAGAAGAAAUCUUUGAGAUCAUUUGGUAUAGCUAUUCUGUUUUCUAAAUGGAUAGAGCAACCACAUGGAGAUAUGCCUGGGACCGUUCAUGUUUAUACCAGUUGUUCCAGAAUAAUAAAUAAUGGUAGCUUCUUUCAUUAUCAAAAUGUCUUGGUUGGAUAAUAAAUUAUGUGAUCCUCCUAUUGAUCAGAAAGCAGAUUCUUAGAAGUGAAAAGAUUUUCUUUUGAAACUUGUUUUAUUAGUCACAAAUGGAUACUGUUGAUAACAGAUUUCCCUAACCCCUCUCCUAGGAAAAAAUCCAGUUGUAAGUAUAUUUAAAAUUUUGUCAAUUUUGAAAAUAUGAUGUGCAUUUGAGGUCUUGAUUAAUGAUACACCUGGGAAUCCACAAUUAAUAUUUAAUUGGUUUGAAAACAUAAAAUAGGGUGACCAAAUUUUUGAAGAAAAUUUAAACUAAACACUACAGGUGAAAUAAUUUCCAUACAUUACACAAAUAUUGCAGGUGGUGUCAUGGGAGCCAAACUUCAAGUCCCUUUAUUGUUUAUUAUUCUUUCUUUGUUGCUUUCCUUAACAAUACUACUGUAGGGUCUGGAAAAAU